RNAcentral lists this ribosomal RNA (484 nucleotides) under uncultured bacterium. RNAcentral's name for it is "partial 16S ribosomal RNA". It matches the Rfam family "Bacterial small subunit ribosomal RNA", at positions 30 to 507 of the family's 1533-position model. The record is from RNAcentral.
AUUGAACGCUGGCGGCUGGCCUAACACAUGCAAGUCGAGCGGAUGAAGGGAGCUUGCUCCUGGAUUCAGCGGCGGACGGGUGAGUAAUGCCUAGGAAUCUGCCUGGUAGUGGGGGAUAACGUCCGGAAACGGGCGCUAAUACCGCAUACGUCCUGAGGGAGAAAGUGGGGCAUCUUCGGACCUCACGCUAUCAGAUGAGCCUAGGUCGGAUUAGCUAGUUGGUGGGGUAAAGGCCUACCAAGGCGACGAUCCGUAACUGGUCUGAGAGGAUGAUCAGUCACACUGGAACUGAGACACGGUGCAGACGCCUACGGGAGGACGCAGUGGGGAAUAUUGGAGCAUGGGCGAAAGCCUGAUCCAGCCAUGCCGCGUGUGUGAAGAAGGUCUUCGGAUUGUAAAGAACUUUAAGUUGGGGGGAAGGGCAGUAAGUUAAUACCUUGCUGUUUUGACGUUACCAACAGAAUAAGCACCGGCUAACUUCGUG